GCAUCCAUGGCUGAAUGGUUAAAGCACCCAACUCAUAAUUGGCGAACUCGCGGGUU
This 56-nucleotide transfer RNA is filed under the name Tsuga heterophylla (western hemlock). RNAcentral's name for it is "partial tRNA-Ile". It matches the Rfam family "tRNA", at positions 1 to 53 of the family's 71-position model. Rfam says of the family: Transfer RNA (tRNA) molecules are approximately 80 nucleotides in length. Their secondary structure includes four short double-helical elements and three loops (D, anti-codon, and T loops). Further hydrogen bonds mediate the characteristic L-shaped molecular structure. tRNAs have two regions of fundamental functional importance: the anti-codon, which is responsible for specific mRNA codon recognition, and the 3' end, to which the tRNAs corresponding amino acid is attached (by aminoacyl-tRNA synthetases). tRNAs cope with the degeneracy of the genetic code in two manners: having more than one tRNA (with a specific anti-codon) for a particular amino acid; and 'wobble' base-pairing, i.e. permitting non-standard base-pairing at the 3rd anti-codon position. Lineage: Eukaryota; Viridiplantae; Streptophyta; Pinopsida; Pinales; Pinaceae. The record is from RNAcentral.